UCCCAGCCCCGAUAGUAACGGUUACCCCGCAACAUGCAUUGGAUUUGAAAGGGUUUAGAUGUUGGAGGGAUUGGCGUGAGGAGUAUGAGUGGAUAGCGGGAAAAAGC
RNAcentral lists this unclassified non-coding RNA (107 nucleotides) under Chryseobacterium joostei. RNAcentral's name for it is "Flavo-1 RNA". Lineage: Bacteria; Pseudomonadati; Bacteroidota; Flavobacteriia; Flavobacteriales; Weeksellaceae. The record is from RNAcentral.